Molecule: ribosomal RNA, 200 nt
Filed under: uncultured bacterium
Lineage: Bacteria
Description: partial 16S ribosomal RNA
Rfam family: Bacterial small subunit ribosomal RNA
Source: RNAcentral
AACGAACGCUGGCGGCAGGCUUAACACAUGCAAGUCGAACGGAUGUAGCAAUACAUCAGUGGCAGACGGGUGAGUAACACGUGGGAACCUUCCUCGUUGUACGGGACAACUCAGGGAAACUUGAGCUAAUACCGUAUACGUCCGAGAGGAGAAAGAUUUAUCGCAAUGAGACGGGCCCGCGUCGGAUUAGUCUAGUUGGG